This 542-nucleotide ribosomal RNA is filed under the name uncultured Cylindrocladiella. Its description in RNAcentral is "SSU rRNA". It matches the Rfam family "Eukaryotic small subunit ribosomal RNA", at positions 548 to 1097 of the family's 1831-position model. The record is from RNAcentral. Lineage: Eukaryota; Fungi; Ascomycota; Sordariomycetes; Hypocreales.
UUGGAGGGCAAGUCUGGUGCCAGCAGCCGCGGUAAUUCCAGCUCCAAUAGCGUAUAUUAAAGUUGUUGUGGUUAAAAAGCUCGUAGUUGAACCUUGGGCCUGGCUGGCCGGUCCGCCUCACCGCGUGUACUGGUCCGGCCGGGCCUUUCCCUCUGUGGAACCCUAUGCCCUUCACUGGGUGUAGCGGGGAAACAGGACUUUUACUUUGAAAAAAUUAGAGUGCUCCAGGCAGGCCUUUGCUCGAAUACAUUAGCAUGGAAUAAUAAAAUAGGACGUGUGGUUCUAUUUUGUUGGUUUCUAGGACCGCCGUAAUGAUUAAUAGGGACAGUCGGGGGCAUCAGUAUUCAAUUGUCAGAGGUGAAAUUCUUGGAUUUAUUGAAGACUAACUACUGCGAAAGCAUUUGCCAAGGAUGUUUUCAUUAAUCAGGAACGAAAGUUAAGGGAUCGAAGACGAUCAGAUACCGUCGUAGUCUUAACCAUAAACUAUGCCGACUAGGGAUCGGACGGUGUUAUUUUUGACCCGUUCGGCACCUUACAGGAAA